Molecule: transfer RNA, 63 nt
Filed under: Fasciolopsis buskii
Lineage: Eukaryota; Metazoa; Platyhelminthes; Trematoda; Plagiorchiida; Fasciolidae
Description: Fasciolopsis buski tRNA-Val
Source: RNAcentral
GAUAAGGUAGUUUAAUUUAAAAUUUCUAUCUUACACGUAGAAGAUGGAUUUGUUCUCUUAUUA